This 1408-nucleotide ribosomal RNA is filed under the name Staphylococcus saprophyticus. RNAcentral describes it as "bacterial SSU rRNA". It matches the Rfam family "Bacterial small subunit ribosomal RNA". The record is from RNAcentral. Lineage: Bacteria; Bacillati; Bacillota; Bacilli; Caryophanales; Staphylococcaceae.
GUCGAGCGAACAGAUAAGGAGCUUGCUCCUUUGACGUUAGCGGCGGACGGGUGAGUAACACGUGGGUAACCUACCUAUAAGACUGGGAUAACUUCGGGAAACCGGAGCUAAUACCGGAUAACAUUUGGAACCGCAUGGUUCUAAAGUGAAAGAUGGUUUUGCUAUCACUUAUAGAUGGACCCGCGCCGUAUUAGCUAGUUGGUAAGGUAACGGCUUACCAAGGCGACGAUACGUAGCCGACCUGAGAGGGUGAUCGGCCACACUGGAACUGAGACACGGUCCAGACUCCUACGGGAGGCAGCAGUAGGGAAUCUUCCGCAAUGGGCGAAAGCCUGACGGAGCAACGCCGCGUGAGUGAUGAAGGGUUUCGGCUCGUAAAACUCUGUUAUUAGGGAAGAACAAAUGUGUAAGUAACUGUGCACGUCUUGACGGUACCUAAUCAGAAAGCCACGGCUAACUACGUGCCAGCAGCCGCGGUAAUACGUAGGUGGCAAGCGUUAUCCGGAAUUAUUGGGCGUAAAGCGCGCGUAGGCGGUUUCUUAAGUCUGAUGUGAAAGCCCACGGCUCAACCGUGGAGGGUCAUUGGAAACUGGGAAACUUGAGUGCAGAAGAGGAAAGUGGAAUUCCAUGUGUAGCGGUGAAAUGCGCAGAGAUAUGGAGGAACACCAGUGGCGAAGGCGACUUUCUGGUCUGUAACUGACGCUGAUGUGCGAAAGCGUGGGGAUCAAACAGGAUUAGAUACCCUGGUAGUCCACGCCGUAAACGAUGAGUGCUAAGUGUUAGGGGGUUUCCGCCCCUUAGUGCUGCAGCUAACGCAUUAAGCACUCCGCCUGGGGAGUACGACCGCAAGGUUGAAACUCAAAGGAAUUGACGGGGACCCGCACAAGCGGUGGAGCAUGUGGUUUAAUUCGAAGCAACGCGAAGAACCUUACCAAAUCUUGACAUCCUUUGAAAACUCUAGAGAUAGAGCUUUCCCCUUCGGGGGACAAAGUGACAGGUGGUGCAUGGUUGUCGUCAGCUCGUGUCGUGAGAUGUUGGGUUAAGUCCCGCAACGAGCGCAACCCUUAAGCUUAGUUGCCAUCAUUAAGUUGGGCACUCUAGGUUGACUGCCGGUGACAAACCGGAGGAAGGUGGGGAUGACGUCAAAUCAUCAUGCCCCUUAUGAUUUGGGCUACACACGUGCUACAAUGGACAAUACAAAGGGCAGCUAAACCGCGAGGUCAUGCAAAUCCCAUAAAGUUGUUCUCAGUUCGGAUUGUAGUCUGCAACUCGACUACAUGAAGCUGGAAUCGCUAGUAAUCGUAGAUCAGCAUGCUACGGUGAAUACGUUCCCGGGUCUUGUACACACCGCCCGUCACACCACGAGAGUUUGUAACACCCGAAGCCGGUGGAGUAACCAUUUAUGGAG